Macaca fascicularis (crab-eating macaque) is the source of this 148-nucleotide unclassified non-coding RNA. It matches the Rfam family "Metazoan signal recognition particle RNA". Rfam says of the family: The signal recognition particle (SRP) is a universally conserved ribonucleoprotein. Lineage: Eukaryota; Metazoa; Chordata; Mammalia; Primates; Cercopithecidae. The record is from Ensembl.
GCUGGGCAUGGUGGCACAUGCCUGUAAUCCCAGCUACUUGGGAGGCUGAGGCAGGAGAAUCAUUUGAACCCAGGAGGUGGAGAUUGCAGUGAGAGGAGAUCAUGCCACUGCACUCCAGCCUGGGCAACAGAGUGAGACUCUGUCUCAA